GGGGGUAGACCCGAAACCGCUUGAGCUAUCCAUGGUCAGGCUGAAGCGUCCGUAACAGGACGUGGAGGGCCGCACCGGUGUAGGUUACAAACUGCUCGGAUGAACUGUGGAUAGGGGUGAAAUGCCAAUCGAAAGCGGAGAUAGCUGGUUCUCCCCGAAAUGCAUUGAGGUGCAGCCCGGGCUUUGGCGCUGCUUGAGGUAGAGCACUGUUGUUGUGCGGGGGCUUCACCGCCUACCAAGCGACGGCAAACUCCGAAUGCGUUCAGCGUACCUCCGGAGUGAGACAGUGGGCGCAAACGUUCAUUGUCAAAAGGGAAACAACCCAGACCUGCAGCUAAGGUCCCGAAAUCUCUGCUGAGUGGUAAAGGAUGUGUCGUUGCACAAACAACCAGGAGGUUGGCUUAGAAGCAGCCACCCUUUAAAGAGUGCGUAACAGCUCACUGGUCAAACGCUCUUGCGCGGAAAAUUCAACGGGGCUUAAACACACCACCGAAGCUACGGAUCCGAAAGGAUGGUAGGAGAGCGUUCUGUAGGAGAUACAAGGUAGACCGAAAGGACUGCUGCGGCCUACAGAAGUGAGAAUGCCGGCAUGAGUAGCGCAAAACAUGUGAGAACCAUGUUCCCCGUAAACCUAAGGUUUCCGACGGAAGGCCAGUCCGCGUCGGGUUAGUCGGGCCUUAGCCGAGGCCGCAAGGCGUAGGUGAUGGACAUCCGGUUAAUAUUCCGGAACCACUCAAGUGGAGCGAUGAAGGGACGCGGUGUGGUAGGUCAGCCUCUUACUGGAUUGAGGUGCCAAACGCGUAGGACGUUGAUGGGUGUAGGCAAAUCCGCACCUGGAGUCCGAAACGUGAUGGCGGUGCCUUAGAGCCACAAGUGAUUGAGCCACGCCGCCAAGAAAAGCUUCUAAGCGUCGAGAUUUGAGUGACCGUACCGCAAACCGACACUGGUAGGUGGGUAGAAGAUACCAAGGGGAGCGAGAGAACCCUCGUUAAGGAAUUAGGCAAAUUUCCCCCGUACGUUCGCAAUAAGGGGGGCCUCUGGCGGUGAGCUAUGCAAAGCUGCUGGAGGCCGCAGAGAAAUGGCUCUUCCAACUGUUUAACAAAAACACAGGUCUCUGCUAAGUCGAAAGACGAAGUAUAGGGGCUGACGCCUGCCCAGUGCUGGAAGGUUAAGGGGAGAGGUUAGGCGCAAGCCAAAGCCUUGAGCCGAAGCCCCAGUGAACGGCGGCCGUAACUAUAACGGUCCUAAGGUAGCGAAAUUCCUUGUCGGGUAAGUUCCGACCUGCACGAAUGGCGUAACGACUUGGGCGCUGUCUCAACCACAGACUCGGCGAAAUUGCACUACGAGUAAAGAUGCUCGUUACGCGCGGCAGGACGGAAAGACCCCGGGACCUUUACUAUAGUUUGGUAUUGGUGUUUGGUUCGGCUUGUGUAGGAUAGGUGGGAGACUGUGAAGCGGCCACGCCAGUGGUUGUGGAGUCAUCGUUGAAAUACCACUCUGGUCGUACUAGAUGUCUAACCUAGGACCGUUAUCCGGUUCAGGGACAGUGCCUGAUGGGUAGUUUAACUGGGGCGGUUGCCUCCUAAAAUGUAACGGAGGCGCUCAAAGGUUCCCUCAGCCUGGUUGGCAAUCAGGUGGCGAGUGUAAGUGCACAAGGGAGCUUGACUGUGAGACAGACAUGUCGAGCAGGGACGAAAGUCGGAACUAGUGAUCCGGCCACGGCAUGUGGAAGCGUGGUCGCUCAACGGAUAAAAGGUACCCCGGGGAUAACAGGCUGAUCUUCCCCAAGAGUCCAUAUCGACGGGAUGGUUUGGCACCUCGAUGUCGGCUCGUCGCAUCCUGGGGCUGGAGUCGGUCCCA
This 1860-nucleotide ribosomal RNA is filed under the name activated sludge metagenome. RNAcentral describes it as "bacterial LSU rRNA". It matches the Rfam family "Bacterial large subunit ribosomal RNA", at positions 705 to 2567 of the family's 2925-position model. The record is from RNAcentral.